This 252-nucleotide unclassified non-coding RNA is filed under the name Hevea brasiliensis (rubber tree). Lineage: Eukaryota; Viridiplantae; Streptophyta; Magnoliopsida; Malpighiales; Euphorbiaceae. The record is from RNAcentral.
AGAUUGAUCAGUUUCAUCGGAAUGAGGCCAUUUCAGCCGUUGCUGAUGAUGGUUUCUUGGGCGAAGACGAGGAUGAAUAUGAAGACCUGUAUAACGAUGUUAAUGUUGGGGAGGGGUUCCUUCAGUCGUUGAGGAAGAACGAUGAUUUAGGAUUCAAGAGCGAGGAGGAGCCCAAGAUGGAGCCUCCUGCACCUGUACCACCCAGUUCCGGUGCUUCCAUACCUGGUGUUGGUGGAGCUGAAGUUGCUGGUU